This 485-nucleotide ribosomal RNA is filed under the name Bacillus sp. (in: firmicutes). Its description in RNAcentral is "bacterial SSU rRNA". It matches the Rfam family "Bacterial small subunit ribosomal RNA", at positions 383 to 859 of the family's 1533-position model. Lineage: Bacteria; Bacillati; Bacillota; Bacilli; Caryophanales; Bacillaceae. The record is from RNAcentral.
CUGACGGAGCAACGCCGCGUGAACGAUGAAGGCCUUCGGGUCGUAAAGUUCUGUUGUUAGGGAAGAACAAGUACCAGAGUAACUGCUGGUACCUUGACGGUACCUAACCAGAAAGCCACGGCUAACUACGUGCCAGCAGCCGCGGUAAUACGUAGGUGGCAAGCGUUGUCCGGAAUUAUUGGGCGUAAAGCGCGCGCAGGCGGUUUCUUAAGUCUGAUGUGAAAGCCCACGGCUCAACCGUGGAGGGUCAUUGGAAACUGGGGAACUUGAGUGCAGAAGAGGAGAGUGGAAUUCCACGUGUAGCGGUGAAAUGCGUAGAGAUGUGGAGGAACACCAGUGGCGAAGGCGACUCUCUGGUCUGUAACUGACGCUGAGGCGCGAAAGCGUGGGGAGCGAACAGGAUUAGAUACCCUGGUAGUCCACGCCGUAAACGAUGAGUGCUAAGUGUUAGAGGGUUUCCGCCCUUUAGUGCUGCAGCAAACGCA